UGGUGGGUAGUUUGACUGGGGCGGUCUCCUCCUAAAGAGUAACGGAGGAGCACGAAGGUUGGCUAAUCCUGGUCGGACAUCAGGAGGUUAGUGCAAUGGCAUAAGCCAGCUUGACUGCGAGCGUGACGGCGCGAGCAGGUGCGAAAGCAGGUCAUAGUGAUCCGGUGGUUCUGAAUGGAAGGGCCAUCGCUCAACGGAUAAAAGGUACUCCGGGGAUAACAGGCUGAUACCGCCCAAGAGUUCAUAUCGACGGCGGUGUUUGGCACCUCGAUGUCGGCUCAUCACAUCCUGGGGCUGAAGUAGGUCCCAAGGGUAUGGCUGUUCGCCAUUUAAAGUGGUACGCGAGCUGGGUUUAGAACGUCGUGAGACAGUUCGGUCCCUAUCUGCCGUGGGCGCUGGAGAAUUGAGGGGGGCUGCUCCUAGUACGAGAGGACCGGAGUGGACGCAUCACUGGUGUUCGGGUUGUCAUGCCAAUGGCACUGCCCGGUA
RNAcentral lists this ribosomal RNA (489 nucleotides) under Escherichia coli. RNAcentral's name for it is "partial 23S ribosomal RNA". It matches the Rfam family "Bacterial large subunit ribosomal RNA", at positions 2259 to 2747 of the family's 2925-position model. Lineage: Bacteria; Pseudomonadati; Pseudomonadota; Gammaproteobacteria; Enterobacterales; Enterobacteriaceae. The record is from RNAcentral.